GCAGCCAUAGCUCAGCUGGUUAGAGCGCUAGAUUGUGGAUCUAGAGGUCCCCUGUUCGAACCAGGGUGGCUGUACCA
This 77-nucleotide transfer RNA is filed under the name Parvibaculum sp. RNAcentral describes it as "tRNA-His". It matches the Rfam family "tRNA". Rfam says of the family: Transfer RNA (tRNA) molecules are approximately 80 nucleotides in length. Their secondary structure includes four short double-helical elements and three loops (D, anti-codon, and T loops). The record is from RNAcentral. RNAcentral also lists the same sequence under 1 other name. Lineage: Bacteria; Pseudomonadati; Pseudomonadota; Alphaproteobacteria; Hyphomicrobiales; Parvibaculaceae.